AUACGGAGGGAGCAAGCGUUAUUCGGAAUCACUGGGCGUAAAGGACGCGUAGGCGGGUUUGUAAGUCAGGUGUGAAAUCCUACAGCUCAACUGUAGAACUGCACUUGAAACUACAGACCUAGAGUAUGGAAGGGGCAGAUGGAAUUAGUGGUGUAGGGGUAAAAUCCGUAGAUAUCACUAGGAAUACCGAAAGCGAAGGCGAUCUGCUGGGACAUUACUGACGCUGAGGCGUGUAAGCGUGGGGAGCAAACAGGAUUAGAAACCCUAGUAGUCC
Molecule: ribosomal RNA, 274 nt
Filed under: uncultured bacterium
Lineage: Bacteria
Description: partial 16S ribosomal RNA
Rfam family: Bacterial small subunit ribosomal RNA
Source: RNAcentral